UUAUAUUAGGAAUUUGAGGGAAGGCCGGUUCAUUUUGCUUCCACCCACCACUAACCUAUCUCGCUCCUUUUCGAUCCUAUUCUUCGGCGAAGGUGGUGUCCUUCCCUUCUCUUCGCUUCCUAGUUCAUUUCUGGGCCCAAACUUUUAAAUGGGGUGUCAGCAUUGCAAGAUAUUGCUGAUUUCCCGAAGCCACCUGAAAAGAUCUCUUAUCCUCAUCAAGCUGAAGAACUAGAACCUUGUCAGUGUAAUUCUCACGACGCCUGGAAUCGGGCUUUAUCAACUUACUUGCAAAAUACGGGAAUAUUACUUCAAUGAGGCACAAGAGGCACCUGUCCAAGAAUGAUCAGCCAGGUAUCUUCGAUGUUGAAGGAAUAAAUUGCUCAUUUGACCAUGAUGUAAGCUAACAGUUCUAGUCUUCCAAUCAUCGUGCUUAAAUGUGCAAGCAGGGAAACUACUAUGAAAAUAAGACAGCGAUUUCUCAACGUCACAAGGAAGAAGAAAAGGACAAGACAAGACAGCGAUUUCGCAGGAUGAUCAUCAUAAGCAGCUAAUUCUUCUCUUUAACAGUUCAUAGCCUGUUCUUCCGACUGCCUGCGUCUUCUGUUCUUCUACUCGUGGCGCCAAAGCUGUAGUCCCAUUAAAGAUUAACGAGUCUUGAUGUGCCAUUCUUAUCAUCCAUGUGGCGUCUGACGUGGACAGAAAGCAAGAACGCACCAUGGUUCUGGCGGUGCUUCAAACUUGUCACAUCAUGAUUUUGUCCGACACCAUAUACUACAGUAUUAGCCAGGUGGGUAUUCAUAUGUUGGAGUCCUUCCCACGGCGGUGGAAUCGAGCGAACUGGUCUUGUAGACGCCGUGGGAGGAGGGCAGGCCGGCACGAUUGUGAUGUUGGAAUGAGAUCACGAGUC
This is a non-coding RNA of Musa acuminata subsp. malaccensis (wild Malaysian banana), 907 nucleotides long. Lineage: Eukaryota; Viridiplantae; Streptophyta; Magnoliopsida; Zingiberales; Musaceae. The record is from RefSeq and is a predicted model, not a curated record.